CUACGGGACGCAGCAGUGGGGAAUAUUGGACAAUGGACCAAAAGUCUGAUCCAGCAAUUCUGUGUGUUUGAUGAAGGCCUUCGGGUUGUAAAGAACUUUAAGUAGGGAAGAAGAAAGUGACGGUACCUACAGAAUAAGCGACGGCUAAAUACGUGCCAGCAGCCGCUGUAAUACGUAUGUCGCAAGCGUUAUCCGGAGUUAUUGGGCAUAAAGCGCGUCUAGGCGGUUUACUAAGUCUGAUGUGAAAAUGCGGGGCUCAACUCCGUAUUGCGUUGGAAACUGGUAGACUAGAGUAUUGGAGAGGUAGGCGGAACUACAAGUGUAGAGGUGAAAUUCGUAGAUAUUUGUAGGAAUGCCAAUGACGAAGGUAGCUUACUGGACAAAUACUGACGCUGAAGCGCGAAAGCUAGGGGAGCAAACAGGAUUAGAUACCCGCGUAGUC
RNAcentral lists this ribosomal RNA (442 nucleotides) under uncultured bacterium. RNAcentral describes it as "partial 16S ribosomal RNA". It matches the Rfam family "Bacterial small subunit ribosomal RNA", at positions 339 to 795 of the family's 1533-position model. The record is from RNAcentral.